This 509-nucleotide long non-coding RNA is filed under the name Mytilus galloprovincialis (Mediterranean mussel). Lineage: Eukaryota; Metazoa; Mollusca; Bivalvia; Mytilida; Mytilidae. The record is from RNAcentral.
GCCGUGUCAAACUGAAUCCCUUGGGAUAAGGGGUUUCCUCUUGGGCAAAGGAAAUAGUAAGGGAAGUUAUACCCUGCAAUAUUAGUCUUACACUAUAAAAAUGGCACACCCAUGUGGGAACUGUUCAAAACACUGCACUCGAAUGUGUGUGUUUUGUGAAAAAUGUGAAACAUGAUUUCACCAAAAAUGCCAGAAAUUAACAAAAGAUCAGUUUCGGAUCGUAAGUCAGACUAAAAGCUGUGAUUUCAUAUGUACACAAUGUUGUCAUACAAAAGAUCAUAAAUUUGACUAUGAUCUUUCUAUUAGGCCAAAAUAAAUAAAUAGUGUGUUUCCUAUUUCACCCCCCAAAAAAUUAGGUAGGGUAGGUAGGUAAAACAUUUUAUUUUAUGAAAACUUUUUAUUUUUUUCUAUCGAUGACAGCAGCAAAAAGAUUCCAAAUGAAAUCAUUUGAUGUGCCAGCAUGCUUUUUUGAUAGUUAUAAUAGUACUUAAUUAAAUCUACAGGUUUUU